RNAcentral lists this ribosomal RNA (303 nucleotides) under uncultured bacterium. Its description in RNAcentral is "partial 16S ribosomal RNA". It matches the Rfam family "Bacterial small subunit ribosomal RNA", at positions 507 to 807 of the family's 1533-position model. The record is from RNAcentral.
AGCAGUCGCCGCGGUAAUACAGAGGGUGCGAGCGUUAAUCGGAUUUACUGGGCGUAAAGCGUGCGUAGGCGGCUAAUUGAGUCGGAUGUGAAAUCCCCGAGCUUAACUUGGGAAUUGCAUUCGAUACUGGGAAGCUAGAGUAUGGGAGAGGAUGGUAGAAUUCCAGGUGUAGCGGUGAAAUGCGUAGAGAUCUGGAGGAAUACCGAUGGCGAAGGCAGCCAUCUGGCCUAAUACUGACGCUGAGGUACGAAAGCAUGGGGAGCAAACAGGAUUAGAUACCCCGGUAGUCCCUGUCUCUUAUAC